This 253-nucleotide ribosomal RNA is filed under the name uncultured bacterium. RNAcentral describes it as "partial 16S ribosomal RNA". It matches the Rfam family "Bacterial small subunit ribosomal RNA", at positions 524 to 776 of the family's 1533-position model. The record is from RNAcentral.
GACAGAGGGGGCAAGCGUUGUCCGGACUGACUGGGCGUAAAGCGCGCGCAGGCGGCGCGGGGCGUCGGUGCUGAAAUCGGGCCGCUUAACGGCCCGCGGCGUGCCGAUACGCCCGCACUGGAGGAUGGGCGAGGGUGGUGGAAUUGCCGGUGUAGUGGUGAAAUGCGUAGAGAUCGGCAGGAACACCCGUGGCGCAAGCGGCCACCUAGCCCACACCUGACGCUGAGGCGCGACAGCGUGGGGAGCGAACUGG